RNAcentral lists this ribosomal RNA (278 nucleotides) under Escherichia coli. Its description in RNAcentral is "partial 16S ribosomal RNA". It matches the Rfam family "Bacterial small subunit ribosomal RNA", at positions 116 to 397 of the family's 1533-position model. The record is from RNAcentral. Lineage: Bacteria; Pseudomonadati; Pseudomonadota; Gammaproteobacteria; Enterobacterales; Enterobacteriaceae. RNAcentral also lists the same sequence under 1 other name.
UCUGGGAAACUGCCUGAUGGAGGGGGAUAACUACUGGAAACGGUAGCUAAUACCGCAUAACGUCGCAAGACCAAAGAGGGGGACCUUCGGGCCUCUUGCCAUCGGAUGUGCCCAGAUGGGAUUAGCUUGUUGGUGGGGUAACGGCUCACCAAGGCGACGAUCCCUAGCUGGUCUGAGAGGAUGACCAGCCACACUGGAACUGAGACACGGUCCAGACUCCUACGGGAGGCAGCAGUGGGGAAUAUUGCACAAUGGGCGCAAGCCUGAUGCAGCCAUGC